This 232-nucleotide small RNA is filed under the name Caenorhabditis elegans. RNAcentral's name for it is "Unclassified non-coding RNA R107.12". The record is from RNAcentral. Lineage: Eukaryota; Metazoa; Nematoda; Chromadorea; Rhabditida; Rhabditidae.
AACCUACAUGAUCCAUAUCUAAAAGCUAAUUUCCUGUCUCUGUCCGCCCUAUUGCUCAACAGACUUUGCUCAAUUUCAAAAAAUGCGGAUCCCUACGAUUUGUUUUUUAUUUCUUCUUAUCUCGUUAUCAAAAUCGCUUCAUAUUGGCUCAUGUCUUGGCUUAAUAUGUGGAAGAAAUGGUCACUGCCAUGCUGGACCUGUCAAUGGAACUCAAACUUCUUAUUGGUGCAGG